AGUGAACGCUGGCGGCAGGCCUAACACAUGCAAGUCGAGCGGCAGCGCGUCCGACCACCCUCGGGUGGUCGGAUGGCGGCGAGCGGCGGACGGGUGAGGAAUGCAUCGGAAUCUGCCUCGUUGUGGGGGAUAACGUAGGGAAACUUACGCUAAUACCGCAUACGACCUACGGGUGAAAGUGGGGGACCUUCGGGCCUCACGCGAUGAGAUGAGCCGAUGCCGGAUUAGCUAGUUGGCGGGGUAAAGGCCCACCAAGGCGACGAUCCGUAGCUGGUCUGAGAGGAUGAUCAGCCACACUGGAACUGAGACACGGUCCAGACUCCUACGGGAGGCAGCAGUGGGGAAUAUUGGACAAUGGGGGCAACCCUGAUCCAGCCAUGCCGCGUGUGUGAAGAU
Molecule: ribosomal RNA, 396 nt
Filed under: uncultured bacterium
Lineage: Bacteria
Description: bacterial SSU rRNA
Rfam family: Bacterial small subunit ribosomal RNA
Source: RNAcentral